CGGGUGAUGUCUAGUGGUUAUGACACAACUCCCUAAUGGAUGAAACGUGAGUUCGAUUCUCUCUCACUCGU
This is a transfer RNA of Edhazardia aedis, 71 nucleotides long. It matches the Rfam family "tRNA". From Rfam's summary of the family: Transfer RNA (tRNA) molecules are approximately 80 nucleotides in length. Their secondary structure includes four short double-helical elements and three loops (D, anti-codon, and T loops). Further hydrogen bonds mediate the characteristic L-shaped molecular structure. tRNAs have two regions of fundamental functional importance: the anti-codon, which is responsible for specific mRNA codon recognition, and the 3' end, to which the tRNAs corresponding amino acid is attached (by aminoacyl-tRNA synthetases). tRNAs cope with the degeneracy of the genetic code in two manners: having more than one tRNA (with a specific anti-codon) for a particular amino acid; and 'wobble' base-pairing, i.e. permitting non-standard base-pairing at the 3rd anti-codon position. The record is from Rfam. Lineage: Eukaryota; Fungi; Microsporidia; Culicosporidae.